Molecule: ribosomal RNA, 313 nt
Filed under: uncultured Phialophora
Lineage: Eukaryota; Fungi; Ascomycota; Leotiomycetes
Description: partial large subunit ribosomal RNA
Rfam family: Eukaryotic large subunit ribosomal RNA
Source: RNAcentral
AUAUCAAUAAGCGGAGGAAAAGAAACCAACAGGGAUUGCCUUAGUAACGGCGAGUGAAGCGGCAACAGCUCAAAUUUGAAAUCUGGCCUCUUUGGGGUCCGAGUUGUAAUUCGUAGAGGAUGUUUCGGGCACCGCUCCGGUUUAAAUUUCUUGGAACAGAAUGUCAAAGAGGGUGAGAACCCCGUCUUGGACCGGCAGUAGGGCCCAUGUGAAACUCCUUCGACGAGUCGAGUUGUUUGGGAAUGCAGCUCAAAAUGGGUGGUGAGUUCCAUCUAAAGCUAAAUAUUGGCGAGAGACCGAUAGCGCACAAGUA